RNAcentral lists this ribosomal RNA (253 nucleotides) under uncultured bacterium. RNAcentral's name for it is "partial 16S ribosomal RNA". It matches the Rfam family "Bacterial small subunit ribosomal RNA", at positions 524 to 776 of the family's 1533-position model. The record is from RNAcentral.
UACGAAGGGGGCUAGCGUUGUUCGGAAUCACUGGGCGUAAAGCGCACGUAGGCGGAUGUGCCAGUCAGGGGUGAAAUCCCGGAGCUCAACUCCGGAACUGCCUCUGAUACAGCACGUCUUGAGUUCGAGAGAGGUGGGUGGAAUUCCUAGUGUAGAGGUGAAAUUCGUAGAUAUUAGGAAGAACACCGGUGGCGAAGGCGGCCCACUGGACUGGUAUUGACGCUGAGGUGCGAAAGCGUGGGGAGCAAACAGG